CCUACGGGAGGCUGCAGUAGGGAAUUUUGCGCAAUGGGCGAAAGCCUGACGCAGCAACACCGCGUGAAUGUUAAGCCCUUCGGGGUGUAAAGUUCUGUCAAUAGGGACGAAUUUUGACUGUACCUAUAAAGGAAGCACCGGCUAACUCCGUGCCAGCAGCCGAGGUAAUACGGGGGGUGCAAGCGUUGUCCGGAAUCAUUGGGCGUAAAGCGUUCGUAGGCGGCAAGUUAAGUCUGAUGUUAAAGCCCGGGGCUCAACUCCGGUUCGGCAUUUGAUACUAUCUAGCUAGAAUGUGGUAGAGGUAAAGGGAAUUCCUGGUGUAGCGGUGAAAUGCGUAGAUAUCAGGAGGAACAUCGGUGGCGUAAGCGCUUUACUGGGCCGUAAUUGACACUGAGGAACGAAAGCCGGGGUAGCAAAUGGGAUUAGAUACCCGGGUAGUC
This 440-nucleotide ribosomal RNA is filed under the name uncultured bacterium. RNAcentral's name for it is "partial 16S ribosomal RNA". It matches the Rfam family "Bacterial small subunit ribosomal RNA", at positions 338 to 795 of the family's 1533-position model. The record is from RNAcentral.